This 495-nucleotide ribosomal RNA is filed under the name uncultured bacterium. Its description in RNAcentral is "partial 16S ribosomal RNA". It matches the Rfam family "Bacterial small subunit ribosomal RNA", at positions 28 to 507 of the family's 1533-position model. The record is from RNAcentral.
GACGAACGCUGGCGGCGUGCCUAAUACAUGCAAGUAGAACGCUGAAGGAGGAGCUUGCUUCUCUGGAUGAGUUGCGAACGGGUGAGUAACGCGUAGGUAACCUGCCUGGUAGCGGGGGAUAACUAUUGGAAACGAUAGCUAAUACCGCAUAAGAGUAGAUGUUGCAUGACAUUUGCUUAAAAGGUGCAAUUGCAUCACUACCAGAUGGACCUGCGUUGUAUUAGCUAGUUGGUGGGGUAACGGCUCACCAAGGCGACGAUACAUAGCCGACCUGAGAGGGUGAUCGGCCACACUGGGACUGAGACACGGCCCAGACUCCUACGGGAGGCAGCAGUAGGGAAUCUUCGGCAAUGGACGGAAGUCUGACCGAGCAACGCCGCGUGAGUGAAGAAGGUUUUCGGAUCGUAAAGCUCUGUUGUAUGAGAAGAACGAGUGUGAGAGUGGAAAGUUCACACUGUGACGGUAGCUUACCAGAAAGGGACGGCUAACUACGUG